RNAcentral lists this long non-coding RNA (285 nucleotides) under Calidris pygmaea (Spoon-billed sandpiper). RNAcentral describes it as "lncRNA (ENSCPGG00000002360.1)". Lineage: Eukaryota; Metazoa; Chordata; Aves; Charadriiformes; Scolopacidae. The record is from RNAcentral.
UAAAGAACGUACUGCACUCAAGACUACCAAAAGAACACAGCCUAAUGGCUACUUUCCUACAAGUAUAUUGUGAAAGCAAUGAGUCACAGAAAAUCCUUGAAAACACCAAAUAGUUGAGGGCUACAAGAAGAUUCAGAGAGAGAUUUGAAGAAUUUAAAAAGCCUUUUCUUAAAGGUAAUGCAUUGCUAAUUAUAAAAUAUAUUAUAAUGAGUUAAGCUAUGAAGACAAUGAAUGCAAAUACAGUAUACUAAUUUAUUUCCAGCAACAGUUCAGUUUCUCUAAAGC